RNAcentral lists this ribosomal RNA (365 nucleotides) under Salmonella enterica subsp. enterica serovar Typhi. RNAcentral's name for it is "bacterial SSU rRNA". It matches the Rfam family "Bacterial small subunit ribosomal RNA", at positions 1181 to 1533 of the family's 1533-position model. Lineage: Bacteria; Pseudomonadati; Pseudomonadota; Gammaproteobacteria; Enterobacterales; Enterobacteriaceae. The record is from RNAcentral.
GACGUCAAGUCAUCAUGGCCCUUACGACCAGGGCUACACACGUGCUACAAUGGCGCAUACAAAGAGAAGCGACCUCGUGAGAGCAAGCGGACCUCAUAAAGUGCGUCGUAGUCCGGAUUGGAGUCUGCAACUCGACUCCAUGAAGUCGGAAUCGCUAGUAAUCGUGGAUCAGAAUGCCACGGUGAAUACGUUCCCGGGCCUUGUACACACCGCCCGUCACACCAUGGGAGUGGGUUGCAAAAGAAGUAGGUAGCUUAACCUUCGGGAGGGCGCUUACCACUUUGUGAUUCAUGACUGGGGUGAAGUCGUAACAAGGUAACCGUAGGGGAACCUGCGGUUGGAUCACCUCCUUACCUUAAAGAAGC